Molecule: ribosomal RNA, 581 nt
Filed under: uncultured Rhizophagus
Lineage: Eukaryota; Fungi; Glomeromycota; Glomeromycetes; Glomerales; Glomeraceae
Description: LSU rRNA
Rfam family: Eukaryotic large subunit ribosomal RNA
Source: RNAcentral
CAUGGAGGGUGAGAAUCCCGUCCGGUUGAUCAUUUGCGUUUUACGAUACGCUUUCUAAGAGUCAAGUUGUUUGGGAUUGCAGCUUAAAAUGGGAGGUAAAUUUCUCCUAAGGCUAAAUAACGGCGAGAGACCGAUAGCGAACAAGUACCGUGAGGGAAAGAUGAAAAGAACUUUGAAAAGAGAGUUAAACAGUACGUGAAAUUGUUGAAAGGGAAACGAUUGAAGCCAGUCGUACCUUCGGGUGAUCAGCCUUUCGGGUGCGAUUCUGUGGAGUUUGAGGAGCUUAACACCUUCAUGCUUUGCAUAUUCGUGCUCUUGGGUGUACUUGCCCGUGUGGUUGGUUAACAUCAAUUUCGGGCACCAUAAAAUGGCUGGAGGAAUGUAGCUUCGAUCUUGUAUUGAAGUGUUAUAGCCUUCGGUAGAUGUGGUGAUCGAGAUUGAGGAUUGCAACGGAUACCUUUCGGGGCUACCUGUCUGGUCUCUGAUCGUUGCUCUGGUGCCGAAAGCUUGCUUACGGUUAUCAAAGUCGAUGGUCAAUAGGUUAGAACGGGUUAAAUUCGUUAAGGAUGUUGACGUAAUGG